Myxocyprinus asiaticus (Chinese sucker) is the source of this 1304-nucleotide long non-coding RNA. RefSeq lists it as uncharacterized. The transcript has 3 exons. Lineage: Eukaryota; Metazoa; Chordata; Actinopteri; Cypriniformes; Catostomidae. The record is from RefSeq and is a predicted model, not a curated record.
GAGUGAGUGAGUGAGUGCGUGCGUGUGUGUGUGUUUGUGUGUGUAAAGAACAACAGUGGCAUUAAGUAAACAAACUGGCAUUUAAAGGGUUAAAAUCCUGAAAAUGAAUGAAUAUUUGGUAGUUAUGAUCAGGACUGAUGUUGAUUAAGUGGAAAAUAAUAUUAAUAUAUAAUAUUAUUAUGGCAGUUUUUUGAUGUGGACUUUUUUGUCCUCUAAGGACCUCUGAGUAACGUUUUUAAAUUGACUCACAAUAUACUCAUUUUUCUUUUUGCUGUUCUCUCUAGUAUCAUUUGCAGAGAAGAAAUUGAUGCGAGUUGAAGUUAUUUUCAUUCUAGUCUCUCUGCAAAUCCGCUGAAAUGAAUCUGGUUACCAUGGUGAUGAUGUCAUGCACUCUUUGUCAUCCUGUCAGCACAAGUAGAAAUGCACCAAUAAAAAUGAGUUUAAUAACGAGCUGAAAGAAACUGAUUCAUUCAGUUUUUUAGGUCAUGUAACUUUCUCAAACUGAAAUGUUAUGCGCCUAAACUCACCAACUAAGUGUAACAAAGUACUGAACCAUUUGAUGAUCUUAAUACUACAUGAAACUCACCUUUUACCUGCAGACCACAACAGAAUGAGGAAAAAUAGGGUAGGACAGCUAUAUCAUUUCAAUUCAGCAUACUGUAUAAAUCUAGAGGUACAGAGAUUCUACUUCAUAAAGCUCUUCCAUUUCAAGUAUAAAAACAUUCAUUAUUUUUAAUAAAAGUGUUCAAUUCCCCUAAAAUACAUUUACUCACAUAAAAUGUACAUUUUCAUUCUUAACUCAUUAUAUGUGUUACAGAAUAAAACAUUUACAUUACAUUUAUCAGACGCUUUUAUCCAAAGUGACUUACAGUGCACUUAUUACAGGGACAAUCCCCCUGGAGCAACCUGGAGUUAAGAGCUCAAGGACACAAUGGUGAUGUCUGUGGGGAUCAAACCAGCAACCUUCUGCUUACCAGUUCAGUGCUUUAGUCCACUACACCACCUCCACUCAAAUUUAAAACAGGCAUUCCCCUUUAAAUGAAGGUCAUGUGUGUAUUUGACCUCUGAGGGGUGACUGAGAGUCUGAUGAAUGUCAGGAAUAAUGCAGAAACAGUGUUUACUCAUUUAUCCCGACUCCCAGAGAAUGAAUAUGCAUACUCUGAAUGUCAGGUUGCCCAAGUAAUGUGGCACAUUAAUGAAAGCUCCAGAAGUCAUCUGUGGAUCCGGCUGUGAGCUCUGGACUCUGGAAGAACAUUCAGGAGUCAGUACUGCAGUGACUUUGACUUCACAACCAUAGAGAGGAG